AAUCAUCAACCCUCUUUGCUUUUUGUAAAGGGUGGUUUGGACUUGGGGAUCUGCUGGCCUUAACAGGUUCUGGCUUCCCUUGAAUUCAUUAGCUGGACUUUAUUUGUGGCACAUAUGUGGUGUGAUAAUAUCUUCACUGCAUUGCCCAAGUGCAUGACUAGCUUCUAACUGUCUUCAUUGACAAUUUACUUGACC
RNAcentral lists this unclassified non-coding RNA (195 nucleotides) under uncultured Schizoporaceae. Its description in RNAcentral is "partial internal transcribed spacer 2". Lineage: Eukaryota; Fungi; Basidiomycota; Agaricomycetes; Hymenochaetales; Schizoporaceae. The record is from RNAcentral.